RNAcentral lists this ribosomal RNA (343 nucleotides) under Achromobacter xylosoxidans. RNAcentral's name for it is "bacterial SSU rRNA". It matches the Rfam family "Bacterial small subunit ribosomal RNA", at positions 138 to 476 of the family's 1533-position model. Lineage: Bacteria; Pseudomonadati; Pseudomonadota; Betaproteobacteria; Burkholderiales; Alcaligenaceae. The record is from RNAcentral.
GGGGGAUAACUACGCGAAAGCGUAGCUAAUACCGCAUACGCCCUACGGGGGAAAGCAGGGGAUCGYAAGACCUUGCACUAUUGGAGCGGCCGAUAUCGGAUUAGCUAGUUGGUGGGGUAACGGCUCACCAAGGCGACGAUCCGUAGCUGGUUUGAGAGGACGACCAGCCACACUGGGACUGAGACACGGCCCAGACUCCUACGGGAGGCAGCAGUGGGGAAUUUUGGACAAUGGGGGAAACCCUGAUCCAGCCAUCCCGCGUGUGCGAUGAAGGCCUUCGGGUUGUAAAGCACUUUUGACAGGAAAGAAACGUCGCGGGUUAAUACCUCGCGGAACUGACGGU